UAUGGCUUGCCAAGCGGUGCCAUGUCCACACCCGGGAUCUAAACCGGCGAACCCUGGGCCGUCAAGAAGAGGAACGUGCGAACUUAACCACUGCGCCACCGGGCCGGCCCCUAAAAGCCGCCACUCUUAUUCUUCCCACUACUGCUGCUGUCUGCGUAGAUGCCCCUGUCCCUCACCAGACUCAGGAUCCUUGAGGGCAGGGACCAGCCCCUAGCGUAGGGGCUGUAACAAGACCGGCAUCCAGUGAUUGUGGAAGUGAACCGCAUCGACUUGCUCGUGGACCCAGAUAGAAUCGACCUGUAGGCAGACUCGCCUCCUCGGUCAUCUCUCCACCCCUGCCCAAAGGAGCAGCCUUUGGUUUUAGAUACCCGAAAUUCUUCCGGAACGUCAGUUUGGCCUUCCUGGUUCAUCACUGUCGUUUUGGCAUUUCCUUGGUGCUCCUUCUAAAGGCUCCUGACCCCUCGGGACAAACACGCCACUUCAGUUUGCGCCACUUCUGAUGGAUUGGUAGUGGUUCUCCUAGAAUAUCAUGAUGAUAAGGAUUCUGUAGACGACAGGGGGCUGCUCAGAAGAAAGAGCAUUAAGAUGGCUUAGCAAUGUCUGCCUUGCGGGAGGAAGGGCUCCUCUGCCUUAAUGUGAAGAGGUAGUUUGUUGAAUGCUUUUCCUACAUUAAGCCAAGACUGAGAGUGUGGGCUUUUGCCUCUGGCGGACGCUCAGGGAAGGUGAGGAGAAGAGUAGCCGAGGGCUCCAAAGGUAGGUCGCCCUUCUUGGGAUUUCCUAGGGCGGACCUUGGAUGUUUGAAUGUCCAGGUCUGUGCUCUGACCAUGCCCCCUCCUGCUCCUGACAUGAUCAGUCACCAGAGGGACUGUGGAAUCUUAGCCAGACCAUGGGGCUUCACGGCUCAGGAUCCCUGGCAGCUUCCUUAGCACGGGAAGCUAAGGCGACUUCUCUCUCCUCCUAGGCAGCUCAGGCCUUCAAGAAUGGCAAGACCGAAUCAAACGUGAAUAAUCUCUGGAGGUGUUUUAUUUCAUGUCUCUCUAACUUUGCCCCAUGGCCCCUGGGGACCAUGGUCUCCCUUAGUGACAUCCCUUGGAAAUGCAAUUGGAUUUGACUCAGUUGUGGGGGCCGGGUGUGGACAGACCCCCAGGCCCUGGCUUGUCCCAGUUCAACGGGAGCCAUGUGGUCUUGCAACCGAACACUCCUCCCCACCCAGGAAUGCUGCUAAUGUCCUUGGCAGAUGUCCCUUCUAUUGCCUGAUAACCUCCAGCAAUGCUGUUCCCAGAGUCUGUGCCUUCGUUCAAGUGGCUCUGAUCAGUGAGAUAAUGGUCACUCCCUUCAAGCCCUCUUGCUCCAAGUAGUCAUUUGACGUCCUUCCUCAGACCUGUGUUGACACUGGGCCUCCACCUCAGCCUGGGUCUCAGCCUGAGCACACGUAGUUAAGAAAUUUAAGGCUCCAGGUCAUCUCAGCAUUAAAGAAACAGAACUCUAACUCCUGCAGCCUUGAGAAGCCAUAUCGGUCUGUGCUAGGCGCUGUUGUCCUGGAGCACAGGGUCCUGUGGCCCACCACACAGCAACAUUUCCUUAAAAAUGCCUCUUCACACAUCACUCUCGGUCCCCAAAAUAUCACUCUUCAGAGCAUCUGUUCAAACCUCUCCCCUUCCGUCUCCUUCCAGCCCCUCUUCCUGACCUCUCCCUCCUGUGGCUCCGUUCUCUUCCUUUAUAAAGCCAUCUGUGCUCGUCGUCCCUUUGGCAGCUCUGUCUACCCUUCUGCCCAGUAAAACUGAAAGUUUUUCUGGGAACCCACCAUGCUCAACAGGGGGUAGUAAACUCCCAUAAGAACUGAAUAUGCUGUUCCUUGCAUGCUGGGCACUCAGUACACAUCCAGGGCAGACAGAAGGAAACCCUUAGAGGCUGAAGACACAACCGAGAGGGGAUUUACAGAGCCACUUUCCUCAUGGGUCCCCUUUCUCUCUCUCUUCUCCUUCCCCUGCAUCAGUACCUGGGGGAGGGAGAAAAAGUAGAGUUAUCUGUCCCUCCGUACUCGCCAUCUGACUCAAUUCUGCACAUUCUGCAAGACACAGAUCACUCCCGCCCACUCCCGACCUCUCCAGUCCACAGCACCCUCGCCUCCCAUUUGUCUUGCUUUUAUUGUUACCAAACUUUCUGUGGUGGAUGUCUCAUCUCCUUAACCAGUCUGUAAGCACCUUAAAAGUAGGACUUGUCCCUCCACUGUGCCAUCAAGGCUCUGGGCACGCAAAUUGAUGGAACUUGAAUAGCUACUAAUAGAAGAUUUGGCAGGGAGGUGGCGGUGGAAUGAUGGUUAAGAGCGAGGUCUCUGGAAUGCACAUCCUGGCUCCAUCACUGUGGUAGAUCGCCCCCGGGUUCUCGUGCCUCUGUGGAUCUGUGCCACCCGAGACCAUCCUCUGACCAUCUGGGACCAGCACACUGACUCUGGGCUUGGCCUGAUGAUUUAUUUCGGCCAAUAUAGUGGAAGAAGUGAUGACAUACUAGCUCCAAUCUUAGGCCUCAAAAGACUUUGUGCCCUUUCAUUCUCUCUUGGAACCUUCCCACCAUCAUGAGAACAGGCCCAGAUAGCCUUCUGGAAGACAGGAGGCCAUGUGGAGGAGGGCCACGUCAUCCCAGCUGAUGCCUUCCUAGGCCAGGCAGAGGAAAGCUGCCUCCUGGCCACCAAUGCGUGAAUGAGCCCAGGUGAAGUCAGCCUAGCCUGGCUGGAAUCGUCAGAACCUUCCAGCUGACCUACAGACUGAGGCACAAAAGUAAAUGAUUAGUAUCAGCCUGUUAUUAAAGGUUUUGUGGAUGUUUGUUAGGCAGCAUUAAUGUGGCAACAGACAACUGAUACAACCAUUUACCAGCUCUGUGACAUUGGGCAAGCUAUUUCAUCUCUCUAUACCUCCAAUUCUUUGUGAAAGGGGGAUGUGGAGGACAUUGCUGACAGCUUGUAGCUGAGUCUCCCCUUCCAGCGAUUGCGUCAGCUGCACAGCUGCUUCUCCAAGGUUCUGG
This 3021-nucleotide long non-coding RNA is filed under the name Equus caballus (horse). Its description in RNAcentral is "lncRNA (ENSECAG00000050336.1)". The record is from RNAcentral. Lineage: Eukaryota; Metazoa; Chordata; Mammalia; Perissodactyla; Equidae.